CAUCUCUUCUCGUGAGGGUUGUCACUGAUCUGAUAAGACAAGUGCAUAAUCUGUGAACUCGACUGCUGCUAAGUUAACUUUCUUAGCUUCACUGUAGUUUUCGUAAUCAAAGAUCAACUCUACCUUUUGUUCCCACUCGAGAUAGAUCUCUGCAUCAUUCAUACUUCUGAAUGGGGGUAUCUCAUCUUGAUGGAUCUGAUGUCAUCAUCUUCCCUCUAGACCUCUAUUCUAUCGACCUCACUAUUAUCGCCAUAGGACUUAUCAUUAUCUUAGCAAUGUCAGCGUCUGGGAUGGCUACGAUUCCUUCCUUUAUAUCUCUCAUCAAUUCUUAUUGUUAUACCUUCAAUGGCUAAGCUCAAUCUAUUGCACAUGUCAUCCAUCCUAGCUUUCAUGUGUUCUUCUAAGAUCUUAGGUCAGUUACCUUCACUAGAUUAU
This 435-nucleotide long non-coding RNA is filed under the name Carica papaya (papaya). RNAcentral describes it as "long non-coding RNA (CPAP_LNC006210)". Lineage: Eukaryota; Viridiplantae; Streptophyta; Magnoliopsida; Brassicales; Caricaceae. The record is from RNAcentral.